CCUACGGGACGCAGCAGUGGGGAAUAUUGCACAAUGGGGGAGACCCUGAUGCAGCAACGCCGCGUGAGUGAAGAAGUAUUUCGGUACGUAAAGCUCUAUCAGCAGGAAAGAAAAUGACGGUACCUGACUAAGAAGCCCCGGCUAACUACGUGCCAGCAGCCGCGGUAAUACGUAGGGGGCAAGCGUUAUCCGGAUUUACUGGGUGUAAAGGGAGCGUAGACGGCAGCGCAAGUCUGGAGUGAAAUGCCGGGGCCCAACCCCGGAACUGCUCUGGAAACUGGGAAGCUGGAGUGCAGGAGAGGUAG
RNAcentral lists this ribosomal RNA (305 nucleotides) under uncultured bacterium. RNAcentral's name for it is "bacterial SSU rRNA". It matches the Rfam family "Bacterial small subunit ribosomal RNA", at positions 338 to 660 of the family's 1533-position model. The record is from RNAcentral.